UUCGGGCGAAGAUAAGACGGAUUAGCGGCGGACGGGUGAGUAACACGUGAGUAACCUGCCUUUUACACAGGGAUAGCCUCGGGAAACCGGGAUUAAAACCUGAUGAAACUAUCAAAUCACAUGAUUAAGAAAGUUAAAACUCCGGUGGUAAAAGAUGGACUCGCGUCCCAUUAGCUAGUCGGUGAAGGUAACGGCCCACCAAGGCAACGAUGGGUAGCCGGCCUGAGAGGGUGAACGGCCACAUUGGAACUGAGAAACGGUCCAAACUCCUACGGAGGCAGCAGAC
RNAcentral lists this ribosomal RNA (286 nucleotides) under uncultured Peptoniphilus sp. Its description in RNAcentral is "partial 16S ribosomal RNA". It matches the Rfam family "Bacterial small subunit ribosomal RNA", at positions 76 to 354 of the family's 1533-position model. Lineage: Bacteria; Bacillati; Bacillota; Tissierellia; Tissierellales; Peptoniphilaceae. The record is from RNAcentral.